GCAUUGUUGAGGAGUCCCAUAAUAGGACGAAACAGUCGUCCAGUGC
This 46-nucleotide non-coding RNA is filed under the name Schistosoma mansoni. Lineage: Eukaryota; Metazoa; Platyhelminthes; Trematoda; Strigeidida; Schistosomatidae. The record is from RNAcentral.